GGGCGCAAGCCUGAUGCAGCCAUGCCGCGUGUAUGAAGAAGGCCUUCGGGUUGUAAAGUACUUUCAGCAGUGAGGAAGGUGGGUAUGUUAAUAGCAUAUUCAUUUGACGUUAGCUGCAGAAGAAGCACCGGCUAACUCCGUGCCAGCAGCCGCGGUAAUACGGAGGGUGCGAGCGUUAAUCGGAAUUACUGGGCGUAAAGCGCAUGCAGGUGGUUUGUUAAGUCAGAUGUGAAAGCCCGGGGCUCAACCUCGGAAUUGCAUUUGAAACUGGCAAACUAGAGUACUGUAGAGGGGGUAGAAUUUCAGGUGUAGCGGUGAAAUGCGUAGAGAUCUGAAGGAAUACCGGUGGCGAAGGCGGCCCCCUGGACAGAUACUGACACUCAGAUGCGAAAGCGUGGGGAGCAAACAGGAUCAGAUACCCUGGUAG
Molecule: ribosomal RNA, 427 nt
Filed under: uncultured bacterium
Lineage: Bacteria
Description: bacterial SSU rRNA
Rfam family: Bacterial small subunit ribosomal RNA
Source: RNAcentral